This 482-nucleotide ribosomal RNA is filed under the name Pontastacus leptodactylus (narrow-clawed crayfish). RNAcentral describes it as "Astacus leptodactylus (narrow-clawed crayfish) partial large subunit ribosomal RNA". It matches the Rfam family "Bacterial large subunit ribosomal RNA", at positions 1857 to 2602 of the family's 2925-position model. Lineage: Eukaryota; Metazoa; Arthropoda; Malacostraca; Decapoda; Astacidae. The record is from RNAcentral.
ACCUGCCCAUUGGAAUCUAAAAGGCCGCGGUAUUAUGACCGUGCUAAGGUAGCAUAAUCAUUAGUCUUUUAAUUGGAGGCUGGUAUGAAUGGUUGGACAAGAAAUAAGCUGUCUUAAAUAAAAAUAUUGAAUUUAACUUUUAAGUGAAAAGGCUUAAAUUUUCUAAGGGGACGAUAAGACCCUAUAAAACUUUAUAUUUUAAAAUAAUAAUUAAUUUUUAUAUAGAAGAUUUAUUUUUAAAUAUUUUAUUGGGGUGAUAAAGAUAAAAUGUAAGAUAACUGUCUUUUUUUUUUACAAUUAAUAUUUGAGUAAAAGAUCUUAACAAAGGAAAUAAGAGAUUAAGUUACUUUAGGGAUAACAGCGUAAUUUUCUUUAAGAGUUCUUAUCGACAAGAAAGUUUGCGACCUCGAUGUUGAAUUAAAAGUUCUUUAUAGAGUAGAUAUUAUAAUAGAGGGUCUGUUCGACCCUUAAAAUUUUACGUG